This 572-nucleotide ribosomal RNA is filed under the name Dermateaceae sp. V15W81. Its description in RNAcentral is "eukaryotic LSU rRNA". It matches the Rfam family "Eukaryotic large subunit ribosomal RNA", at positions 62 to 648 of the family's 3401-position model. The record is from RNAcentral. Lineage: Eukaryota; Fungi; Ascomycota; Leotiomycetes; Helotiales; Dermateaceae.
AAACCAACAGGGAUUACCUCAGUAACGGCGAGUGAAGCGGUAACAGCUCAAAUUUGAAAUCUGGGUCUUUCAGGCUCCGAGUUGUAAUUUGUAGAAGAUGCUUCGGGUGCGGCUCCGGUCUAAGUUCCUUGGAACAGGACGUCAUAGAGGGUGAGAAUCCCGUAUGUGACUGGCUGCUUGCGCCCAUGUGAAGCUCUUUCGACGAGUCGAGUUGUUUGGGAAUGCAGCUCAAAAUGGGUGGUAAAUUUCAUCUAAAGCUAAAUAUUGGCCAGAGACCGAUAGCGCACAAGUAGAGUGAUCGAAAGAUGAAAAGCACUUUGGAAAGAGAGUUAAACAGUACGUGAAAUUGUUGAAAGGGAAGCGCUUGCAACCAGACUUGCGCGUUGCCGAUCAUCCGGGGUUCUCCCCGGUGCACUCGGCUUCGCUCAGGCCAGCAUCGGUUUCGGUGGUGGGAUAAAGGCCUUGGGAAUGUAGCUCCUCUCGGGGAGUGUUAUAGCCCUCGGUGCAAUGCCGCCUACCGGGACCGAGGACCGCGCUUCGGCUAGGAUGCUGGCGUAAUGGUUGUAAGCGAC